GAUGAACGCUGGCGGCGUGCCUAAUACAUGCAAGUCGAGCGAACGGACGAGAAGCUUGCUUCUCUGAUGUUAGCGGCGGACGGGUGAGUAACACGUGGAUAACCUACCUAUAAGACUGGGAUAACUUCGGGAAACCGGAGCUAAUACCGGAUAAUAUUUUGAACCGCAUGGUUCAAAAGUGAAAGACGGUCUUGCUGUCACUUAUAGAUGGAUCCGCGCUGCAUUAGCUAGUUGGUAAGGUAACGGCUUACCAAGGCAACGAUGCAUAGCCGACCUGAGAGGGUGAUCGGCCACACUGGAACUGAGACACGGUCCAGACUCCUACGGGAGGCAGCAGUAGGGAAUCUUCCGCAAUGGGCGAAAGCCUGACGGAGCAACGCCGCGCGAGUGAUGAAGGUCUUCGGAUCGUAAAACUCUGUUAUUAGGGAAGAACAUAUGUGUAAGUAACUGUGCACAUCUUGACGGUACCUAAUCAGAAAGCCACGGCUAACUACGUGCCAGCAGCCGCGGUAAUACGUAGGUGGCAAGCGUUAUCCGGAAUUAUUGGGCGUAAAGCGCGCGUAGGCGGUUUUUUAAGUCUGAUGUGAAAGCCCACGGCUCAACCGUGGAGGGUCAUUGGAAACUGGAAAACUUGAGUGCAGAAGAGGAAAGUGGAAUUCCAUGUGUAGCGGUGAAAUGCGCAGAGAUAUGGAGGAACACCAGUGGCGAAGGCGACUUUCUGGUCUGUAACUGACGCUGAUGUGCGAAAGCGUGGGGAUCAAACAGGAUUAGAUACCCUGGUAGUCCACGCCGUAAACGAUGAGUGCUAAGUGUUAGGGGGUUUCCGCCCCUUAGUGCUGCAGCUAACGCAUUAAGCACUCCGCCUGGGGAGUACGACCGCAAGGUUGAAACUCAAAGGAAUUGACGGGGACCCGCACAAGCGGUGGAGCAUGUGGUUUAAUUCGAAGCAACGCGAAGAACCUUACCAAAUCUUGACAUCCUUUGACAACUCUAGAGAUAGAGCCUUCCCCUUCGGGGGACAAAGUGACAGGUGGUGCAUGGUUGUCGUCAGCUCGUGUCGUGAGAUGUUGGGUUAAGUCCCGCAACGAGCGCAACCCUUAAGCUUAGUUGCCAUCAUUAAGUUGGGCACUCUAAGUUGACUGCCGGUGACAAACCGGAGGAAGGUGGGGAUGACGUCAAAUCAUCAUGCCCCUUAUGAUUUGGGCCACACACGUGCUACAAUGGACAAUACAAAGGGCAGCGAAACCGCGAGGUCAAGCAAAUCCCAUAAAGUUGUUCUCAGUUCGGAUUGUAGUCUGCAACUCGACUACAUGAAGCUGGAAUCGCUAGUAAUCGUAGAUCAGCAUGCUACGGUGAAUACGUUCCCGGGUCU
This 1372-nucleotide ribosomal RNA is filed under the name uncultured bacterium. RNAcentral's name for it is "bacterial SSU rRNA". It matches the Rfam family "Bacterial small subunit ribosomal RNA", at positions 28 to 1381 of the family's 1533-position model. The record is from RNAcentral.